RNAcentral lists this ribosomal RNA (247 nucleotides) under uncultured bacterium. Its description in RNAcentral is "partial 16S ribosomal RNA". It matches the Rfam family "Bacterial small subunit ribosomal RNA", at positions 523 to 769 of the family's 1533-position model. The record is from RNAcentral.
AUACGUAGGGGGCAAGCGUUAUCCGGAUUUACUGGGUGUAAAGGGAGCGUAGACGGACUGGCAAGUCUGAUGUGAAAGGCGGGGGCUCAACCCCUGGACUGCAUUGGAAACUGUUAGUCUUGAGUGCCGGAGAGGUAAGCGGAAUUCCUAGUGUAGCGGUGAAAUGCGUAGAUAUUAGGAGGAACACCAGUGGCGAAGGCGGCUUACUGGACGGUAACUGACGUUGAGGCUCGAAAGCGUGGGGAGC